Molecule: ribosomal RNA, 506 nt
Filed under: uncultured bacterium
Lineage: Bacteria
Description: partial 16S ribosomal RNA
Rfam family: Bacterial small subunit ribosomal RNA
Source: RNAcentral
AGAGAACGCUGGCGGCAGGCCUAACACAUGCAAGUCGAACGGCAGCACAGUGGAGCUUGCUCCAUGGGUGGCGAGUGGCGGACGGGUGAGGAAUACAUCGGAAUCUGCCCAGUCGUGGGGGAUAACAUAGGGAAACUUAUGCUAAUACCGCAUACGACCUACGGGUGAAAGCGGGGGAUCGCAAGACCUCGCGCGAUUGGAUGAGCCGAUGUCCGAUUAGCUAGUUGGCGGGGUAAUGGCCCACCAAGGCGACGAUCGGUAGCUGGUCUGAGAGGAUGAUCAGCCACACUGGAACGGAGACACGGUCCAGACUCCUACGGGAGGCAGCAGUGGGGAAUAUUGGACAAUGGGCGCAAGCCUGAUUCAGCCAUGCCGCGUGGGUGAAGAAGGCCUUCGGGUUGUAAAGCCCUUUUGUCCGGAAAGAAACGCCUCGGAUUAAUACUCAGGGGUAAUGACGGUACCGGAAGAAUAAGCACCGGCUAACUUCGUGCCAGCCGCCGCAGUAA